UAUGCAUUGAACUUAAAAUUCAUUUAUAAAGAAUAAUCUUUUUUUAGA
RNAcentral lists this transfer RNA (48 nucleotides) under Schoutedenia emblica. RNAcentral describes it as "partial tRNA-Leu". The record is from RNAcentral. RNAcentral also lists the same sequence under 1 other name. Lineage: Eukaryota; Metazoa; Arthropoda; Insecta; Hemiptera; Aphididae.